This 206-nucleotide ribosomal RNA is filed under the name uncultured bacterium. RNAcentral's name for it is "partial 16S ribosomal RNA". It matches the Rfam family "Bacterial small subunit ribosomal RNA", at positions 524 to 725 of the family's 1533-position model. The record is from RNAcentral.
UACGAAGGGGGCUAGCGUUGCUCGGAAUCACGUGGGCGUAAAGCGCACGUAGGCGGAUUGCUAAGUCAGGGGUGAAACUCCUAGGACUCAACUCCAGAACUGGCCUUUGAUACUGAAGAUCUUGAGUUCGGGAGAGGUGAGGUGGAACUGCGAGUGUAGAGGUGAAAUUCGUAGAUAUUCGCAAGAACACCAGUGGCGAAGGCGGA